ACAUUUUUAAAAGAUUUGGAGACCUCUCAAAUGUGUAACGGCACAGAAUUUGAUUGUCAGAAGUCAUCAGAAACAUGCACAGUAUUUUUGAAAGCUGAUGAACAAUAUAAAAAACAGGCGGGGUUAUAUAGGUGUGAUGCAUGUAAACAAGUAAAAAAAAAUUUCAUAAUCAAUUGUACCGACCUAAACGAGAUGUCCAUGAUUAUAACAAAAAACUCAAGCUUGAGCUGAAUUCUGUCAAGAAAAAGUGUAGUCGUCUCAGUAAU
Long non-coding RNA from Cotesia glomerata, 266 nucleotides. RefSeq lists it as uncharacterized. NCBI's taxonomy places the organism in Eukaryota, Metazoa, Arthropoda, Insecta, Hymenoptera, Braconidae. The record is from RefSeq and is a predicted model, not a curated record. The transcript has 2 exons.